Molecule: long non-coding RNA, 646 nt
Organism: Drosophila grimshawi
Lineage: Eukaryota; Metazoa; Arthropoda; Insecta; Diptera; Drosophilidae
Exons: 2
Source: RefSeq, a predicted model, not a curated record
UAUUUAUAUAUUUCUUAAUUUUAGGGCAAACUGUUUGCCGAGAAGUAUCCCAGUUGAUGGCUGAUAAGCCCCCUCUCAAUCUCCUCCAAAAUGAAAAUGAUUAAAGCAUAGUUCAAUGCGUUUCAAAAGGUCGAAGUGCAGAGGGUCGGCAUAAUUAUGCUCGCCACACAAAAGCCGACAGCCGACGACAAGUACCGAGAAACGUCUACAAAUACUUGAAUUUUUUAAGAAGAUGCGGAACUUUAGCAGGAUUAGGCAAAGACGAGCGAACUUAAAAGAAACAUAUAAUGGUAUAAUAUAAUUUAUGGCCAUGGCUGCGAACGGCAACAUCUUCUCGAAUCUUGUCAAAGAGGGGUGGGUCCGUCUCCUCUUGUAAUACUACACUUAAUGUAGUCUGUCGUCGCUAUUGUUCUAGUUUGCUGUUGUUGACUUAACUACAGAUUGCCGACUCUCUACCCGGGCCAUGUCAUGUUCGAAAUGGAGUGGAAGUGUGACAAGUUCAUUGUACGACUGAACUUCGGCCCUGGCCCCGCUUGCAACAACAAAAACUUUUGGACACUGCAGCAAAUCAUUGAACAAAUAUAUGAUGAGCUGCAAAGUUCAAUUUCGUUUCAUUUAUCAAAUAAAUAAAAUGUAUGGCAGACCA